UGUGGUGGUCAUAGCGGUAGGGAAACGCCCGGUAUCCAUUCCGAACCCGGAAGCUAAGACUACCAGCGCUGAUGGUACUGCACUCCAACGGGUGUGGGAGACUAAGACACCGCCACAC
This 118-nucleotide ribosomal RNA is filed under the name Bifidobacterium breve. The record is from RNAcentral. RNAcentral also lists the same sequence under 1 other name. Lineage: Bacteria; Bacillati; Actinomycetota; Actinomycetes; Bifidobacteriales; Bifidobacteriaceae.